UACGUAGGGUGCAAGCGUUAAUCGGAAUUACUGGGCGUAAAGCGUGCGCAGGCGGUCGCGUAAGCCAGAUGUGAAAACCCCGGGCUUAACCUGGGAACUGCAUUUGGUACUGCGUGGCUGGAGUGCGGCAGAGGAAGGUGGAAUUCCUGGUGUAGCAGUGAAAUGCGUAGAGAUCAGGAGGAACACCGAUGGCGAAGGCAGCCUUCUGGGCCAGCACUGACGCUCAUGCAAGAAAGCGUGGGGAGCAAACAGG
This 253-nucleotide ribosomal RNA is filed under the name uncultured bacterium. Its description in RNAcentral is "partial 16S ribosomal RNA". It matches the Rfam family "Bacterial small subunit ribosomal RNA", at positions 524 to 776 of the family's 1533-position model. The record is from RNAcentral.